Molecule: ribosomal RNA, 790 nt
Filed under: Ischnocnema aff. guentheri PT-2018
Lineage: Eukaryota; Metazoa; Chordata; Amphibia; Anura; Brachycephalidae
Description: partial 16S ribosomal RNA
Rfam family: Bacterial large subunit ribosomal RNA (bases 232-348)
Source: RNAcentral
GCUAAAGACCUAGCCCAANNNNNNNNNNNACACACAAUAACCUACUAAAAUAUUUUAUCAUUCAAGUAAGGACGACUAAAAAACUCACAAGAGCUAUAAUAAAGUACCGCAAGGGAAAGGUGAAAUAAUAAUGAAAUAUUAUAAAGCACAAAAAAGUAGAAAUUAUAAUUUGUACCUUUUGCAUCAUGGUUUAACUAGUUUAAUCAAGCAAAAAGAUUUUUAGUCCGACCCCCCGAAACUAAAUGAGCUACUCCAAGGCAGCUUACUGAGCUAACCCGUCCCUGUUGCAAAAGGCUGGGAUGACCUUGUAGUAGAGGUGACAAACCAAACGAAUUUAGUGAUAGCUGGUUACUCAGGAAAAGAAUCUUAGUCCAACCUGAAGUUACCCUAUAAAAUAUACUACUACUUUAGAGCAAUUCAAAUAAGGUACAGCCUAUUUGACACAGGACACAACCUCAAACAACGGCUAACUCACAAUACACUUAAACUAAGUAGGCUUGAAAGCAGCCACCUUGAAAGAGCGUCAGAGCCUAAUUCUCCUCAUACCUAAUCCCACAACUUACAAAGAACCCUUCAUCCGUACUGAGUACUUCUAUACCACUAUAGAAACUUUUAUGUUAAAACUAGUAACAAGAAGACACUUCUCUUUAAAUGCAAGCAUAAAUCAGAACGGACCGCCCCACUGAUACUUAUACACCUCAACAGCAAACCCAUACUCCCGAAAAACCUACCUUUUCUAUCGUCAACUUAACACAAGAGCAUUUCAAGAAAGAUUUUUAAAAAAAGAAGG